CCUCCACAGCGGAACCGGAACUGAAGCAUUGCCGUGGCAACCCGUUGGCAGGGGGAAAGCGCGGGAAUGGCGGCGGCUGCCGUCGUCGUCGCCGGGAGACCUUCGGUGAGGGGAUGAGUGAGCCAGACGCUGCCUGACCUGCUGAGUUCCUCCAGCACUUUGUGCUCCAGCAUCUCUGGUGUCUCCAAGGUCUCCCCGAAGGGUUUGGAGAUGUUUGGGAGGACAGUCCGCCCUGAUCCAACCCAGUGCUGGAAGGGGCACAGGUUGUCCGCAGCCCACCACACCUCGCAUUUUGUGGAGAUGUGUGCAUGGGUUGUCCUUUUUCAGUCAGACUGCACAGCCACGGUCUCACUUUGCUCAAACAAGUAUCCUCCUGCUGCAUUCCUGGAUCUUCAGUCGGACUUUGCAGCACAAGUAAGAGCUUUAACCACUUCAGCAGACAGGAACAAGUUACACAGACAAAGUUUCUUACUCGAGGCAUCUCGUGUUCAGUGGGUCUUAAACAUUCUUCCUCUCCAUCUGCAAAGAGCUACUUAGGGGCAACAUUCUUUACUCUUUUUGAUGAUUGUUUGAAGAUCCAAUCUAAGAUGAGAUAUCUUUAUUAGUCACGUGUACAUCGAAACACACAGUGAAAUGCAUCUUUUACAUAGAGUGUUCUGGGGCCAGCCCACAAGUGUCGCCACACUUCCGACGCCAACAUAGCAUGCCCACAGCUUCCUAAUCCGUACAUCUUUGGAACGUGGGAGGAAACCGGAGCACCAGGAGGAAACCCACACAGACAUGGGGAGAACGUACAAUCUCCUUACAGACAGUGGCCGGAAUAGAAACUUUUCCACAUCUGUUCAAUUCACUCACAUCAGAUAAGGUUAGAGUAACAUCAUAUAUUGAUUUACUAUAAAUGAUAAAACACAAUAGCCAACAGUUUAAUUUCUCCAGGCAGCUGCAUCUGUAGUCACAAUCUAGCAGUCAGUUUACUGUUUUGUGUACUGAGUUCACACACCAUUGUCCAG
Long non-coding RNA from Pristis pectinata (smalltooth sawfish), 1010 nucleotides. RefSeq lists it as uncharacterized. The record is from RefSeq and is a predicted model, not a curated record. The transcript is spliced from 3 exons. Lineage: Eukaryota; Metazoa; Chordata; Chondrichthyes; Rhinopristiformes; Pristidae.